AAGUCAUUAAGUUUUGAUAUUCAAGUAGCACAGGACUCAUAGUCUAAUAGCUUUAUUGGCUAAAAGUAGAAAAGAAGAAGAUCUUGUUUUAGUAGCAUUGAGUGCCUAUGUUGCUUUAGAAUGGAAAAUGCCACAAAUGCCUAAGACUUAAGCAUUGUAAAACAAUAGAAGUAAUUUCAUAUUUUAUAACCUUUUAUAU
This 199-nucleotide long non-coding RNA is filed under the name Physcomitrium patens. RNAcentral's name for it is "long non-coding RNA (PPAT_LNC012348)". The record is from RNAcentral. Lineage: Eukaryota; Viridiplantae; Streptophyta; Bryopsida; Funariales; Funariaceae.